This is a long non-coding RNA of Aedes aegypti (yellow fever mosquito), 360 nucleotides long. RefSeq lists it as uncharacterized. The transcript has 2 exons. NCBI's taxonomy places the organism in Eukaryota, Metazoa, Arthropoda, Insecta, Diptera, Culicidae. The record is from RefSeq and is a predicted model, not a curated record.
AUCAGUUGAACUAUGGUUUGUUUACCUUCGCGCAUCGUGUUAGCAACUCACAAAAGUAAAAACAUAGAUUUGCUCGUCUGCUUCAAAAAGGUUUUGUUAAAUAAAUUAAAACGGCCUAGGUUCUUGAUAAAUUGAACAAUAUGACGGACGUAUUCGAGGAUGAAGAAUAUUUGGAUUUGGUGUAAGAUGAGGACCAAACGGAUCCGUUCCAAACCGACGAAAGCACAGUCGAAAGUGAAACUAGUUGUGAUGCCGGGGAAGGAUCUUCCAAACAGAGCUCCGACUAGGGUGCCGGUACCAAUGGUUGUAAUGUACCAGUAGAUUGGACUAUGGAAUAAAACGUACAUUUUUUGAUAAAAA